RNAcentral lists this small RNA (161 nucleotides) under Pongo abelii (Sumatran orangutan). RNAcentral describes it as "processed transcript". The record is from RNAcentral. Lineage: Eukaryota; Metazoa; Chordata; Mammalia; Primates; Hominidae.
UUAUUGCUUACUGUGAGCUAAGACCCUUUUGCCUAACCUCGAAGUCAUGAAGAGAUGUGAACUUUGUCCCCAUAAGGAUGGAGCUUUAAAAAGAACAGAUAAUGGGGGUUGGGCCCAUGUGGUUUGUGCCCUGUAUAUUCCAGAGGUACAAUUUGCCAAUG